AAAUGAAUUGACGGGGACCCGCACAAGCAGCGGAGCAUGUGGUUUAAUUCGAAGCAACGCGAAGAACCUUACCAGGGCUUGACAUCCCUCUGACGGCUCCUUAAACGGAGUUUCUUUUCGGAGCAGAGGAGACAGGUGGUGCAUGGUUGUCGUCAGCUCGUGUCGUGAGAUGUUGGGUUAAGUCCCGCAACGAGCGCAACCCUUGUCGCUAGUUGCCAGCGGUUGAAGCCGGGCACUUUAGCGAGACCGCCGGGGAUAACUCGGAGGAAGGUGGGGACGACGUCAAAUCAUCAUGCCCCUUAUGUUCUGGGCUACACACGUGCUACAAUGGUCGGUACAGAGAGCUGCGAAGUUGUGAAACGGAGCCAAACUCUAAAACCGUCCCCAGUUCGGAUUGCAGGCUGCAACUCGCCUGCAUGAAGUCGGAGUUGCUAGUAAUCGUGAAUCAGCACGUCACGGUGAAUGCGUUCCCGGGUCUUGUACACACCGCCCGU
Molecule: ribosomal RNA, 494 nt
Filed under: uncultured bacterium
Lineage: Bacteria
Description: bacterial SSU rRNA
Rfam family: Bacterial small subunit ribosomal RNA
Source: RNAcentral